This 1465-nucleotide ribosomal RNA is filed under the name uncultured Bordetella sp. RNAcentral describes it as "partial 16S-23S ribosomal RNA intergenic spacer". It matches the Rfam family "Bacterial small subunit ribosomal RNA". Lineage: Bacteria; Pseudomonadati; Pseudomonadota; Betaproteobacteria; Burkholderiales; Alcaligenaceae. The record is from RNAcentral.
AGUUUGAUCAUGGCUCAGAUUGAACGCUGGCGGGAUGCUUUACAUGCAAAGUCAGACGGCAGCACGGACUUCGGAGGUCUGGUGGCGAGUGGCGAACGGGUGAGUAAUGUAUCGGAACGUGCCUAGUAGCGGGGGAUAACUACGCGAAAGCGUAAUAAUACCGCAUACGCCCUUCAGGGGAAAGCGGGGACCUUCGGGCCUCGCACUAUUAGAAGCGGCCGAUAUCGGAUUAGCUAGUUGGUGGGGUAACGGCUCACAAGGCGACGAUCCGUAGCUGGUUUGAGAGGACGACCAGCCACACUGGGACUGAGACACAGCCCAGACUCCUACGGGAGGCAGCAGUGGGGAAUUUUGGACAAUGGGGGAAACCCUGAUCCAGCCAUCCCGCGUGUGCGAUGAAGGCCUUCGGGUUGUAAAGCACUUCUGGCAGGAAAGAAACGGCACGGGAUAAUACCCCGUGCAACUGACAGCCUGCGAAUAAGCACAUUAACUGCAUUGCCAGCCCAUGAUAAUAGUAGGGUGCAAGCGUUAAUCGGAAUUACUGGGCGUAAAGCGUGCGCAGGCGGUUCGGAAGAAAGAUGUGAAAUCCCAGAGCUUAACUUUGGAACUGCGUUUUUAACUACCGAGCUAGAGUGUGUCAGAGGGAGGUGGAAUUCCGCGAUAGCAGUGAAAUGCGUAGAUAUGCGGAAGUACCGAUGGCGAAGGCAGCCUCGCAGGACUAACACCGGCGCUCAUGCCGAAAGCGUGGGGAGCAAGCCGGGUCGAUACCCUGGUAGUCCACGCCCUAAACACUGAUAUCAACUAGCUGUUACAUUGGGGCCUUCAGGCCUUGGUAGCACCUUCUUGCGUGAAGUUGACCGCCUGGGAAGUACGGUCUUAGGUCCGACUCAAGGUGGCGGGGUUGCACAAGCAGUGGAUGAUGUGGAUUAAUUCGAUGCAACGCGAAAAACCUUACCUACCCUUGACAUGUCUGGAAUCCCGAAGAGAUUUGGGAGUGCUCGCAAGAGAACCGGAACACAGGUGCUGCACCGGCUGCAAUGGUAAUAGGCGUUGAUGAGAUGAUGGGUUCAGUCCGCGAACGCCAUUACAGCAUUCGUUGUCUACAAGGGCACUCUAAUGAGACUGCCGGUGACAAACCGGAGGAAGGUGGGGAUGACGUCAGUCCUCAUGGCCAUAUGGGUAGGGCUUCACACGUCAUACAAUGGUCGGGACAGGGGUCGCCAGCCCGCGGUAAUCACAGAAACCCGAUCGUGUAGUCAGGAUCGCAGUCUGCAACUCGACUGCAUGAAGUCGGAAUCGCUAGUAAUCGCGGAUCAGCAUGUCGCGGUGAAUACGUUCCCGAGGUCUUGUACACACCGCCCGUCCACACCAUGGGAGUGGGUUUACCAGAAGUAGUUAGCCUAACCGUAAGGAGGGCGAUUACCACGGUAGGAUUCAUGACUGGGGUGAAGUCGUAACAAGGUAG